RNAcentral lists this ribosomal RNA (440 nucleotides) under uncultured bacterium. Its description in RNAcentral is "partial 16S ribosomal RNA". It matches the Rfam family "Bacterial small subunit ribosomal RNA", at positions 338 to 795 of the family's 1533-position model. The record is from RNAcentral.
CCUACGGGGGGCAGCAGUGGGGAAUAUUGCACAAUGGGGGAAAGCCUGAUGCAGCGAAGCCGCGUGAGGGAAGAAGGAAUUCGGGAUGGAAAGCUCUAUCAGCAGGGAAGAAAAUGACGGUACCUGAGGAAGAAGCCGCGGCUAACUACGUGCCAGCAGCCGCGGUAAUACGUAGGGGACAAGCGUUAUCCGGAUUUACUGGGUGUAAAGGGGGCGUAGAGGGCAGUGCAAGUCUGGAGUGAAAGGCGGGGGCCCAACCCCCGGACGGCCCGUGAAACUGGAUGGCGGGAGUGAAGGAGAGGUAAGUGGAAUUCCUGGUGUAGCGGUGAAAUGCGUAGAUAUUAGGAGGAACACCAGUGGCGAAGGCGGCUUACUGGACUGUAACUGACGUUGAGGCUCGAAAGCGUGGGGAGCAAACAGGAUUAGAUACCCGAGUAGUC